AAUAUUGGACAAUGGGCGCAAGCCUGAUCCAGCAAUGCCGCGUGGGUGAAGAAGGCCUUCGGGUUGUAAAGCCCUUUUGUACGGAAAGAAAGCUUUCGGGUGAAUACCCCGGGAGGAUGACGGUACCGUAAGAAUAAGCACCGGCUAACUUCGUGCCAGCAGCCGCGGUAAUACGAAGGGUGCAAGCGUUAAUCGGAAUUACUGGGCGUAAAGGGUGCGCAGGUGGUGGUUUAAGUCUGUCGUGAAAGCCCUGGGCUCAACCUGGGAAUGGCGAUGGAAACUGGGUCACUAGAGUGUGGUAGAGGAUGGCGGAAUUUCCGGUGUAGCGGUGAAAUGCGUAGAGAUCGGAAGGAACAUCUGUGGCGAAGGCGGCCAUCUGGACCAACACUGACACUGAGGCACGAAAGCGUGGGGAGCAAACAGG
This 424-nucleotide ribosomal RNA is filed under the name uncultured bacterium. Its description in RNAcentral is "partial 16S ribosomal RNA". It matches the Rfam family "Bacterial small subunit ribosomal RNA", at positions 360 to 776 of the family's 1533-position model. The record is from RNAcentral.